RNAcentral lists this unclassified non-coding RNA (253 nucleotides) under uncultured Sphingomonadaceae bacterium. RNAcentral describes it as "contains 16S-23S intergenic spacer region". It matches the Rfam family "Bacterial small subunit ribosomal RNA", at positions 524 to 776 of the family's 1533-position model. Lineage: Bacteria; Pseudomonadati; Pseudomonadota; Alphaproteobacteria; Sphingomonadales; Sphingomonadaceae. The record is from RNAcentral.
UACGGAGGGGGCUAGCGUUGUUCGGAAUUACUGGGCGUAAAGCGCACGUAGGCGGCUUUCCAAGUCAGGGGUGAAAGCCUGCGGCUCAACCGCAGAAUUGCCCUUGAGACUGGUUCGCUUGAACACGGGAGAGGUGAGUGGAAUUCCGAGUGUAGAGGUGAAAUUCGUAGAUAUUCGGAAGAACACCAGUGGCGAAGGCGGCUCACUGGACCGUUGUUGACGCUGAGGUGCGAAAGCGUGGGGAGCAAACAGG